UAACGUAGAGAAAUUUACGCUAAUACCGCAUACGAUCUAAGGAUGAAAGCGGGGGACUCGCAAGAGCCUCGCGCGAUUGGAGCGGCUGAUAUCAGAUUAGCUUGUUGGUGAGGUAAAAGCUCACCAAGGCGACGAUCUGUAGCUGGUUUGAGAGAACGACCAGCCACACUGGGACUGAGACACGGCCCAGACUCCUACGGGAGGCAGCAGUGGGGAAUUUUGGACAAUGGGCGAAAGCCUGAUCCAGCAAUGCCGCGUGUGGGAAGAAGGCCUUCGGGUUGUAAACCACUUUUGUACGGAACGAAACGGUUCGCUUUAAUACAGCGGGCUAAUGACGGUACCGUAAGAAUAAGCACCGGCUAACUACGUGCCAGCAGCCGCGGUAAUACGUAGGGUGCGAGCGUUAAUCGGAAUUACUGGGCGUAAAGCGUGCGCAGGCGGUUAUAUAAGACAGUUGUGAAAUCCCCGGGCUCAACCUGGGAAUUGCAUUUGUGACUGUAUAGCUAGAGUACGGUAGAGGGGGAUGGAAUU
RNAcentral lists this ribosomal RNA (531 nucleotides) under uncultured bacterium. RNAcentral describes it as "bacterial SSU rRNA". It matches the Rfam family "Bacterial small subunit ribosomal RNA", at positions 144 to 668 of the family's 1533-position model. The record is from RNAcentral.